UAUGAACUUAACCCAAUCAAAUUGUUAGCCAAAGUUAAGUCACCAAAGCUACCACAAUCAGCCUCACGUGAAUAGUAAAAUUCAUUUGACUAUAACUUUGGCUACACAACUUCAAAUGAGGUGAUUUAAAAAGAGAAAUAAAGAUGAGACCUAGAGGGACAAUUGUCAUGAAGGACACCUCAUCAAAGUAUGAUUGAAAUUAGGUAAAAAUUGGGUUCAAAGUUUAAUGUACUAAGUUGCCAGAAAAUCAAAACUCUUUGAAAUUUGCAAAGCUAACUUGGGAUGCAUUAGACAUUCAUGUAAUGAGUUUUUGGCAGCAAUUGAGAUGAGUGUUGAGGUAUUCUAUUUGCAUAUUUUCAGUAGAGAAGGAGGUUAGGACGAACAAUGAGAAGUAAGUAAAGAUAAAGGAGUUCAUUGAAGGUUUGUGCACAACUA
This 435-nucleotide unclassified non-coding RNA is filed under the name Hevea brasiliensis (rubber tree). Lineage: Eukaryota; Viridiplantae; Streptophyta; Magnoliopsida; Malpighiales; Euphorbiaceae. The record is from RNAcentral.